CCCUUAGAUGUUCUGGGCCGCACGCGUGCUACACUGAGUGGAUCAGCGGGUCAGGUUGCGCGAAAGUGUUUCCUAAUCUUGAAAUCCGCUCGUGAUGGGGAUUGACGGUUGCAAUUUUCCGUCAUGAACGAGGAAUACCUUGUAAGCGCGGGUCAUCAUCCCGCGCUGAAUACGUCCCUGCCCUUUGUACACACCGCCCGUCGCUCCUACCGAUUGAGUGGUCCGGUGAGGCUUUGGGAUCUGAGCGGAAAGAGCGUUUCGCUGUUUCUGCCCGGAAAACUCAGUCGAACCUUAUCAUUGAGAGGAAGGAGAAGUCGUAACA
This 322-nucleotide ribosomal RNA is filed under the name uncultured eukaryote. RNAcentral describes it as "partial 18S ribosomal RNA". It matches the Rfam family "Eukaryotic small subunit ribosomal RNA", at positions 1470 to 1796 of the family's 1831-position model. The record is from RNAcentral.